RNAcentral lists this long non-coding RNA (793 nucleotides) under Triticum aestivum (bread wheat). RNAcentral's name for it is "long non-coding RNA (TAES_LNC023366)". Lineage: Eukaryota; Viridiplantae; Streptophyta; Magnoliopsida; Poales; Poaceae. The record is from RNAcentral.
GUCGUAGAGGUGGGACAAAAGAGAACUAGAGGAAGUGGGAUGCCUCCAAGUGAGGAGGAAGAGGAGGAAGAGGAGGCAGAGGAUGUAGAUGAUGGGGAGGAUGAUGAAGGUCAAAGCCCUUUAGUUUAUAUUAACAUUAUAUGAAUUUGUGUGGUUCAAGUGCUAACUUGUAAUUUUUGUAGGUAACAAUGACGUGCUGCCUAACGAAAACAGUGAACCUCUGCGGAAGUCUACAAGGAAAAGGAGGAAGAGGAAGGUAAUAAUGAAGUGCUAACUUUGUCUGUUUGCUUGCUGCCACCCAAAAUUUUAUAUGCUUACUGCUAUCUCAUGCCAUGCAUCCAUUUAUUAUAUAUUGUCAACAAAUUCUAAGACAUGAUAAUAUAAACAAAUUUGUUUGCUAACAACAUGACAUCUAAUUUGCUCACUGGCAGCUUGAUUCGUUUUAACGAAGGAGACUUGCAAGUCUAGAAGGAACUGAAUGACAAUUUGGUUUGUUGCUCAAUGCUAUGUACUGUGUAAUUGACCGAAUCGAUGGUCUUUUGUUAUGGGACUAUAAUAUAUACUGGCUGCACUUCUUUUGUUGUUGGACUGCUAUGUGUCUUCCUGUGUCUAAUCUUAAGUUUAGUCUCUAAAGUCUGAAGCUAUAUUAUUAGACUGCAAUCUCGUGGGCUUGUGGCUGAUGGUUUAUGAGAAUUGUAUAUUUUUGUUGGUCGUUCUAUUGUUAUAUGUGUUGUGGGUCUCUUAAGGCCAGUUACUAUUGCUAUAAACUGCUUAUAUGCCAUCAAUAUAGGGG